UCAUAUCACUUGACAAGACAUAAACAGCAUGUCCUCAAACUUCAAGAAAGGUAAAUAACAAUAGUGAUAAUAUUAUUUAGAGGAAGGUGUUUACAACUCAUCUCGGAUGAAAAUGUUCUGCUCAGAUGUAAAGCAAACUCCGCUUAAGCAAUAUUGCGUUUCUUCGUACCAACUCAUUUUAGUUUCGUGGUAAAAACAGAUUGCAUAAAAAGAGAUACAAUACGUGCUAGCACUGUGUGCGUAUUACAACACCAUGUAAGAAAUCACUACCAUCUUGAAUCUCAUAUACAUCCCUCAGUCUGUCUGGCAUGCUUUUGUUAUCUGAAAUUAUUUAUGCCUCUACACAUUAGUCAAUUGCAUCUCCACAUCUUAGCUCUUUUCAAUCAGCUAGAGUGUCUUCCUUUCCGAAAAUUUGUGAAUUUUUUUUAGUGGAUGUCUUUAAUUUAAUUUGUCUCUAUCUGGGAAAGAGGCAACUCAAGACAAUAAACAAAGGUUCUGGUAGAACUGAACACAUAUGUAAUAAAAGUUGAAUCCAUUGAUGGCACGCGUUGCCACCCAACCAUUUCUCCAUUAAAAUGAUAGGAGUUACUUUAAUAUUUUGCAAAAUGAUUAAACAUAAGAUCAUAAGCUAACAACAGGUUAGACAUUAAACAAAAUAAGGUUGUAACAAAUGUGUGCCAGUUUGGUUUCAUCUACACAUCACAUAAAUAUGGAUCACUAUAUGAAACAAAAGUGAGCUUGGAUUGCUCAUGGGUAGCUAGAGCAUGUGUAAAAUCUGAAAUGAACCAAUAGCCCAUAUCACAACCUGAGAUGCAAGCUCAAUAAAAAAAUACUUUCAUAAUGCUUGACAUAUGGAAGACUAAAGUUACCACAACCUUGGACAUUAUUGCCUUAGAUUACCUCAGCCAACAUGCUAUUCAUCACAAUAAUAUACCUACAUGCUUGCAUUAAAAUGACACCACUAUUUCUAUUUUUUUCAUUACUUUUUCAUUUAAAUGAAUCACAAACCAGGCAACUUGCUCAAGGUGUCAAAAUGUAUCAUGCCUGAUCUGACACCAUAUAUUCUCACAAACCAAGCAACCAACUCAAGGUCCUAAAAUGUGAGAACCUUAAUCACCCAGGUUGCAUCAUGCCUAAUCGAGUAUGAUCUCCAAGGAGUAUAUUUUGUCUAGACAAAAUUCACAAACAAGAUCUGAAUGAAUAAUAAUAGUUUGCACUACAUCGAGAAACAUGAGCUUACCCCAGAUGGCGUGCAAAUAUGAUGGUUGCAUAAUCUGCCUCAAUGGGUGAAACAGAAAAAACAAAAAAAGCCGUAAGGCGUGGGGAAUGGAUAGGUUAUUGAUUAGAAACAAAUUAUUUUUUGAUAGAACAAAGUAAUAUGUGUGCAUAAUGCAAAAUAGUAUACAUGUUAGUAAUCACAAAUAUCAUGAUAUCAGUCCAACAAGUGCCCACUAUUAGGAUAUUAAUUAUUAAACAUGCAAACCAACAAAAGAAUGUGUUAAAUUCCUGAAUAGGAGCAUUCAAAGAACAAUGAAGCACCAAUAAGCAAUUUUUUUGGUCUAGAGUACGCUAGUUACAGAACAUGCCUUAUUCAGUCAUUCAGAGUUAUAAUGCUCUUCAAGUCCGCUAUUGGUGGAUUCAAAAGGAAUGACACAAAGCUUUACGUCAUAUACAUACUAUUGCGUGCUAUUAAGAACUUUUAAAUCUUCUCGAAGAUGAUAAUUGAGAUUUAUUUUUACCUAAAAUACAGUAUUAGCAUAUGUCACCUUCUAGAAAAUAGGUAUUUUAGCCGUUGGCUUUCAAAUAAUGUUUACUGUGUCCACAAAAAAGGAGUUCUUUUCUAUCAAUCAUUUGCAAUGGAAUUACUACAAAGAAUAUUGUUCACUGAUGGAUCCCUUAAUUUGAGGUUCCUCAAGAACAAAUAAUUCAACAAAUCAGUGUAGCUUUUCUAUACUUGUGCUUCUCAGCAGAUAUAAGUGACCUCUCCUUUUUCUACAUUGUGUGUUCGUUCUUGCAUACAUGCAAUACUCCAUCUGCUAUUGCUAGAACAAUUCAAUAACUAAUUAUUCAAAAGAGAAUAAGAGCACACCAGGCAGAGGACUACUUUCCCAAUGAAGAGAAGGAGCAAAUUUACGGGAGUAACGUGGUUGCCUUGAAGCUGCUCCACUUGCCCACAAGAAAGCCCGGUGAUGUAGAUGUCCCGAAUUUACUAUUAUGCGAGAAUGUUUCUAAAUUAUAGUAUUACUGAAGCUGGAUGCAGAUAAUUAUCAACCAAACUGAUUAUCAUCAGUAUUACUGAAGCUGGAUGCAGAUAAUUAUCAACCAAACUGAUUAUCAUCGAAACAAUCUAAAUCGACCACCCAAACCCUAGCCCAGCGCUCACCUCGUCGUCGUUGGUGGACUCCGGCUCCUUCUCAUCUCCUUCCCCGCCUGCAGCGGCAGCACAGCCGUCAGCCUGUUCGUCAGCGCCCGCACCGGUUGUGAUGGCCUCAAUCUCCUCCUCGUCCACCUCCCCAUCCACCUCGCCCUUUUCCCAUCCUCGCCAGACGGAUCCGCCGGCGUCGGACAGGUCAUUUGCUCCUCGAAGGAGGAGGAGCAGGCCGCCUCGUUGUCUUUGUCGUCAUCGUACCUCGUCAUCUUCGCCAUUGGGACCGGGGUUAGGAUUUCUGGAGGCGAUGUGGAUUCGAAGUACCGAGCGAUUUGGAGGAGAAAGGGUGGAAGCAGAGGGUACUACGACGGCGAUGGCGAGAUCAAAACGGUGCGGCGGCGGCGCGUUCUGUCUAGGUCAAACGAAGAGGAGAGCUCGACAGGCGAAAGGGCCCUCUUUGUCGACCGAACUAUAUUUUUUUCGCGAGGGACGCCAAUCGAUCUCGAUCACUUUUAGCGAAGCCCAGGUCUGGACCUCUUUAGCGAAGCG
RNAcentral lists this long non-coding RNA (2917 nucleotides) under Triticum aestivum (bread wheat). RNAcentral describes it as "long non-coding RNA (TAES_LNC000189)". The record is from RNAcentral. Lineage: Eukaryota; Viridiplantae; Streptophyta; Magnoliopsida; Poales; Poaceae.